RNAcentral lists this long non-coding RNA (31861 nucleotides) under Vitis vinifera (wine grape). Its description in RNAcentral is "long non-coding RNA (VVIN_LNC007437)". The record is from RNAcentral. Lineage: Eukaryota; Viridiplantae; Streptophyta; Magnoliopsida; Vitales; Vitaceae.
AACCCACUGAGAGCCAUGUCUUUUAUCCUUCACUCUUCUUAGCCACCAUUAGAGACCAUGGAACUCUUCUCCCAAAGCCAUAAUACCCAUCCUCAUCACUGUAUAUUUCUCCGACUAGAUUCUUGUCGUCACUGACAUCCUCAUCACUGAGGGGGCUUAGAUCAAUGACCAACUCGCUCAACGACCAAUUUCUUUAGCCACUUCACCGCCCACAUCUUCCAGGUAUUCUUUCGAUUCCUUCCAUGGCUUCACACUCUGUUAUUCCUUUCUUUCUUUCUUUCUUUGAUUUCAAAUUGGGUUUCUUUUCAUCACUUCUAUUUCCUCCCAUCUCUCUUUUUCUGGUUAGGGUUUGUGUUUGGAUUCCCUGGUAUAUAUUUACUAAUUAUUAUGAGCAUCAAACCCUCACCAUACUUUCUCAUGCCUCAUCUCUGCACUCUUAUUCUUCUUUCCAUUUUCAUGUGCAUCGAAGCUUAGCUUGGAAUCAAUGAUUGCUCGUGUCCCUUCUCUUUUGUCUUUUUUUGUCUUCCGUGCAUAAGAUGAAGUUGAAAAUUUUAGUGAUAUGAAAUUCAAUGCAGUCUGCUAUUAUUAUAGUGCCUUGUCUGCACCUAAUGAAAUCAAAGGUUAUGGAAGCUUCGGAUAGAGCAAAGCUCUUCCUAAUUAGGAUGCUACACUUUGACUCAUCUUAAUCUUGUUUCUUUUUUUUUUUCAUUUUAUUUAUCUAUUUUUUUAUUUUUUUAUUUUGAAUCCAUCAAAGUAGUAACUCCCUUGGACUAAUUUUGUUCUUCAUGUAAACACUAAGAAGUGGAAAAAUGAAUAUUAAGUUUAUCGAAAUUAAUGGGUAUGGACUAGAAGCAUUUUGUCAAAAAUCUGAAAAUUCAGAUGUUGAAAAUCAUAUCAUUUGAUUAGAUUUAUCUCAUGUACAAUUGCUAUUCAGGAGAAACAUUGGAUAGGUUUUGGGGUUUAUGCAAUUUUGGAGGGAAAAGGCUUCCUAAUUUACCUUCCUCAAUUUUAAUUUCUUAAAAUUCAAGUGGUAAUCUUAAAUGGACUUCAACAUCUGUUUUUCACCAACCAUUCUUUUACUUCUAUACAAAUCCUGUUAUCUCAUGUAUGGGGCAAAUGCAAUUUUGUGAUUUUCUAACUUCUUAAAAAUCAGGAAUUGACUUUUUAGGCUCAUUUUUACAUUUUUAAUUCAACUGAUUGACAUAAGCUUGAUAUUUGUUCUUUGAGUGGAAAUUCUGAUGCUUAGAGGAGAGACACUUUACUAAUUUUAUCUACUAGGUUGAAUGCAUUUGCUUUUUCUUCCUGCCAAUUUACUAAUUAUCAAAUUCCUUUUCUUUCUGGUUGGUUUUUCCCUAUCCUUUCUGUUUUCAUUUGAGGCCAUCAUAUCUCAGGCAAUUCACAUCCUGAGAGAGUUAGCUCCAACCAAAUUGGCAAGAGAGUUAGCUACAGAACAAGAUAUAAUAGCCAAGAUUGGCUUAUAAAUAUUCGAGAAUGAAAAUCUUACCAUUAUUUCAUUCUCUUUUAUUGAGCACCCAUUUUCCUUAAUGUGGAAUAUUUGAAACUCAAUGGUACAAAGAGAUACAAAAUUCAGAAGUAGUUUUAUAUUUCACAUAUGUCAUAGAGUUCUAAUUGAAAGACCAAUUGAAAGAAUCAAACUUUGGAUCUUAGGUAUUCAGUUAUAUGUUAUAACAGGUCUAACUGGUCUAAUCUACCUAAUUUGGUAAAUAAGAUGUUAGCAAGAUGAGGGUCAGCUUAGGAAGUCCCACAGCACAAGGCAAGCCACUUGUGAGAUUAAGCAGUCUGAUUAGGAAUACAAUGUUUGGCUUCACAAGUCAAUACAAGGCAAAAUUAAAACAUUAAUAAUUUGAUUUUAACCAAAAUUGAUGUCUUAACCACCAUGUUUCCUUUCUAAAUGAAGUAAGAUGGUUCAAUUUGAAUGGAACCUAAUUGAUUGGGAAAUUGAAAUAAGGUCACUUGCCGUUAGAAAUUGUUGUGAAGAGGAACUAACACAAUUUUUUUUUAUCAAACUUUGCUCUGCAUCAUGUUUGGCCCUCGAAACCCAUAUUUCACCUAAUUUAUUUGGUGGAAGAGGCUUCAAUGUAUCCACACUAACUAUUUGGGAUUCAUUUUUUUUUUCUUUUGGUUGAUUAUUCUCUUUUUUGCUUUCUUUUUUUCUUUGUUCCUUUUUGGUUUUCAAGUUAUAGAUCAUUUAAUCAAAGAAACAAUAACAAAAAAAAAAUUACUUUUACUUUAAUGUACUUUCAUUUUGGGUGCUAGGAGUCUUGUCUAGUGUGUGUGUGUGUGUGUUUUCCAGUUUUUAAUGUUUUUGGGUUUUCUCAAAAUACAAUGUAACUUCAAUGUUCCAUAAGAGAAAAAGAAAAAAAAAUCAAUCCCCAUCAAAGAAACAAAGAUUCAUUUAAUGAUUUCAUCUUACUAGUCACUUUAGCCAUUUAUCUGAAAGGGGUUUACUAUUAAGCUUCUUGUUUAGCUAUUUGCUAACAUCAUCCAUCUUCUUUAUCCAUUGACUACCCUAUGUAUCAAUAAUUUUAAAAACUCUCAUUUCAAUGCUUCAUUGUGCACAUGAUACAAUGAGCUAUAAUGCAUUGAAUUCCAGUCUUCAAACCUUUUACUUUCUUUUAUGUCAUGUUCAUUUGAUUUUUCUUUUUCAUUCCUUAACUGGAUGGGGGCAAUAGCCAUCUCUCUCAUUUGGCCCCUGCAUUUUGAAGAUAAGGCAUUUCCUUUUUCUUUCGUUGUGUGGAUGCACCUUCUAUGGCUAGGUUUAUCUUAAGUUGAAUAAAAAUCCAGUCCCCCAUAGGGCCAAUAUCAUCACUCCAAUGGCAUGUUUGCUUAUUGGCAGGGUGAACAAAUUGAGACUUUGGCAAGACAACAGUAAAGAGAAAGCAUAGAAAAGUUGAAACCUUUGGAGCAGCUCUAUUGUUAUCUUGAAAAGAGGAGGAAAUAGCAAGAUAUUAAUGAAAAAAAAUCUUUCCUAUUUUUCUCAGAAAAUGUGAUAGAAGUUUGAUAAAAUUAAUAAUUAAUAGUUUCCUAUUUUCUUUUUGUGGAAAAGGUAACAACAAAAAACUAUUUCAGAAGUUUUACCAUUAAGUCUGGAUUUUAUCAUGCAGGGGAUUAACCUUAAGCAUGAUAGAUAACCAGUAAACCCUUGACCAAAACAAUAUGAUUGCAAUUGGGGCUGCCAUCUCUCCAACCUCAUCAUACAAAGGUGGACAAUUUGAUAUCAGCUUAUUGGUCUGGAAGAAACUUAUUUUUUUUCCCUUUUGUUCUUUUUUUUUUGUUUUUGAUAUUGAAUAUGCUAAAGCUAAAUCUGAUUGCUAUGAAAGCGAAUUACUUACAAUAAGCAUAAGAAAUUUUUUAAAAUGAAUUUGUUUAUUAACUUAAUCUAUUCUAUAGAGCAUUUUAUCUUGCAAUGAUUUUUCCUUUCUUUCUUUCUUUCUUUCUUUCUUUUGAUCAUUGUAUGAAUUAUUACAAUAAUAAUAGUAAUAAAUAACAAGUAAUAGUUUUUAUAAUAUAAAGUUUUAUGUGAAAAGAAAUGCUUAAGAAAUUAAGUUUUUUUUAAGAAACAAAUGAAAAAAGGACUGAAACAGAAAAUACUUUUUUUUCUUCUUGCAUUCACAUUAUUGAAGUAUCUUAGAAUGAUAAUUAAGUAUAUAGAACAUCUUCUUGAGUCAAUUUUGGUCUUCAAAUAUUGAACUUGUGAAUGUACUUGCUGGCUUUGUAUUUAAACUGCCCUGAACUUAAUGAUUUGAAUAUGAAAUCCUAUACAAAUUUCUAUGCAGGUAUUAGUCCGAUGCCUUUCUUUGAGGUUAUGAUCUUUCCAAAAUCCCCCCUGGUUAGAUCAUAAGUAGAAUGAAAAUUUUAGAGUCCUAAGUAUGGCCUUUCUAAAGUUCUCUUUUAAAAUACAAGUUAACAAGUUCAUAAUGUUGCAUCACUAGUUUGUAAUCUCUUAAAUUCUAUUAUUAUUAUGUCUACAUUCCAUAUUUUGACAAAUUGAAAAAUACCAGUAGACGUUGCUUUAUAUUUUUAUUAUAAAGCAACCAGAUUUUUUAUUAUACUAAAAACAAUCUUUAUAUUUUGGUUUUUUAAAAUUAGGUGUUUAUUACAUGUUCUAGGCCUAAGUAGUUUAGUAAUUUAUUCUUUAAAGAUAGUUUGUACUUAUAAGUAGCAAUCCAAGUCAAAUAAUCAGCAAAUUAAGCUUAAGGUGAAAAUUUUCAAAUUACGAAAAUUUUACAUUUGUCAAAAGAAAUGAAAAAAACCAAGUUCUUAUGUGGAAUGUUUAUUUUUAUUGAUCUUAAAAGCUAAGUUCUUGGCUUGAUUGCUGAAGAAGUUGUUGGACAGGUCUAAGCAGGUGAAGUUUGAAGCAUUUAAAAUAAAUUAGAAUGCAUAUAGAAUGAUAAUUAUUUGCUAGUGAUAAUAGUUGUAACCUCAACUUUCUUUUGUUUCUGAUAUUAAGACAAUCAGUUUUUUUUUGAAAUGGCAUUUCCAAAAAAUGGAGUUGGCACUUCGUGGAAGACAAUGGGACUCUUUGGAAACAAGUGAUAAGUAGGAAGUAUGUGGUAGAAGAAGGGGGGUGGUAUACCUGAAAAGUGAGGGAAAGGUAUGGUGUGGGGUUUUGGAAGGAAAUUAGGAAGGAAUGGCCUUUAAUGAGGGGCAAUUUCAUUUUCUCCAUGGGGGAUGGAAGAAGAGUGAGAUUUUGGGAGGAUAGGUGGUGCGGCGACGACACUUUAAGCCAUUCCUUCCCUUUGUUGUUUGAGCUGGCCGCUUCUAAAGAGGAGUGGGUGGUUUCGGGGGAGGAGGGGGGUUGGAAUCCUCAUUUUUCUAGGUCGUUUAAUGAUUGAGAGAUGGAGAUGGUGGAGAGAUGGAUUUCAAAAAAAAAAAAAAAUGGAAGACUCUUGUUCUCCAAAGAGAGUAGGCUUUGAUGUUAGGUAAGCAACUAUAAGGGAGUUUAUUAAACAACUAGCCUCAAACAAAUAGCCUUAGUCAUUAUGUCUUACUUUCUUGGAAGAAGCUUCAAUACUAUUAAGGUGGCUAGGAGGAGUUGAGAAAAAAUGGAAAAUUUUAUGUGGACAAGUUUUCAUCUUGGAAACUAGAGCUUUGCAUCAUGGAAAGAAUAAAAAGAAACAUUGAGAAGUUUUCGUAGACUUGUUCUCAUGUGAUUUGUCACCUUGUUACUUGUGAAGAUCUCGUAACAUUAUUUUGCAUCUUGCAAAUUAGACUUGGGAAACUGCAAGGUUAGGUUCUCAUAAGAAAUUUUGAGGCAUGUUAGAUAAUAUUUUCAAAAAUAAUUUUUAAAAAUAAGUUUUUGAGAACAAUUCAUAAAAACAAUUUUAUAUCAUUUUUAGGAAUAAAAUUCUAUUUGAAAUUCUAAAUAAUGGUUUUCUUCAUUAGUUCUUGGUGAAUGUAAUUUACCAUGCAAAAUGCAAUAAUAUUAAAAAAAACACCAACCACUCUAUUUUCAUGAUAUUUUUAUUCUAAAAUUUGUUAGAUAUAUUUUUUAGAUUGGAAAAUUAUGUUUGUUUAAAAAAAUAAAAAACUAAUUUUAAAAAUAUUUGCAGACAAACCUUCAAUGUUUCAGUUGAAAGUACGUCUUUCCUUAUCGGAAACCACUUAGAUUAGUUCUUUGGAGGUUAGGGUUUGUUAUUAAAAAGUUUCCUAACACGAUGGUGGAGAUAACUACAUUGUUGAAUCAUGUAAAUUCUAUUGCUACGUGUCUAUUUUCUUUUCUUUUUUUUAAAGUUAAAAUUUUUAAAUCAUCCCCACAAGCAGCAUCAUUUCAAGGAGUCUAUGAAUUUUUAUAAUUGACUAUUUCUUAGUAAUGGUCGUGGACCAUAUAGUCCAUUGUAUGUAUGUGACCGAUUUCUCACUAUGUUUCAUUCUUUGUGUGGUCCAUUAUAAAUAGGGUCUAUUUUCAAUUUGUGUGGUUCAUACGGCAAUAUAGUCCAUUACAUAUGUGUGAUCAUUGUCUCACUAUGAUUCAUUCAUUGUGUGGUCCAUUGUAUGUUGAGUCUAUUUUCAAUUUGUGUGGCCCAUUGUAUAUAGGGUCCAUUGUAAAUAGGGGUACUUGUCGAGUUCAUUUUCUUGGCACUAAAUGAAGAUUUUCCUUGCACUUGGAGGGACUUGAUUCCUUUGCCUUUUGAAAUAUCCAAUGAGUUGGAUGAGAUAAAGGGAAGAACCUAUGAAACUCUCAAUUAUGAAUUUGUAUGAAAACAUAGGAAAUGAAUUUCAGGAAGAGGAUAAAUUAAUUGAUUUUUUGGUUUUGUCUUGCUUGACUGACAUUAAAGCCACCAAGCUAGUUUAUAAUAUGUCUAAUUUUGAUGAAUUUCUAAACCUCCAAGCUAGUUUAACGGGUUCUAUCUUAUCUAUACAACUUUUUCUAUGGAAUAUUAGGUAUCAAUCAAUUCUUUUAGCAGCAUGUUGCCAUCUCCAUGGAAUAUCUCAGUCAUUGUGUUAUGAAUCUUAUCAUGUUUUUUGGAUACUAAUUAUGACAAUGAAUGGCAAUUGGCGUUCGGCCUCUCAAACUUGACUAGUUUAGCUCCUUUGUCCCUAUGAGUCCAAUGAGAAAAGAAACUGAUGCAUGUAUCAUUUUUUAAAUAAGGGACUACAACUUGGACUCAUGAGAGAUCAUGUUUUGUUUGUAAUUGUAUAUCUUUCUCUACAUGCCUACCUUUAGAGUAAUUUAGAUCAAGUGGCUUUAAAUUAUUCUAUUUUUGUGAGUUUCAAUUAGCAUUCUAGUUACCUUCAUGGAAUUUGCUUUUAAUAGUGAAACCUAACUUGGUAUCUCUUGCAUUUUCCAAUUUGGAAAAGGAUGCCUUUAGUUAAUUAAUGUAAAUUGUAUGAUUAGAUUAUUUUUUCUUAAUAAUAAGGAAAUAAUAAGCUCUCUAGAGCAUCUCAUUACUUAUUAGGAAAAUUAAUGGCAAAAAAAGGAAAGUUGAUGUUGUAAGCCUUAAUUUUUCAAAUGAGAUUUGUUUAAUUUAUCUUAAAACUAAAUAAAUUGUAAUUUGACUUAAGUCUAAAUAGAACUUAAUUUUAUUAAAUAUUUUAAGAUUUAUGUUAAAAGAUACGCAUGACCUUAAUUCAAAAGUGAGCCUCAAAAGUAGUCUAUUGUACAAAAAUCCCAUUCAUCAUGAACCAUUGAUUACAACAUUUGCUAACUACACGUUCAUAAAUAAAAAUAGAAAAGAAAAAUAUUUUUUUAAGUCUAAUUAUGAAAUGAUUAUGAAAUUAACUUGUAAACAGGUGAAUAUUAGCCUAACUUGUUCUUAGCAGGUGAAACAUUAAUGAUUCUUGUACAUAGGUUAUUAGUUUUAAGAUUUCGUUGAAGCUAUUUGCUUACAAAGGGGGCGGCACCAUGACUAAACAAAACGAAGGGAAGAAGGGAAAAUUUUAUGGAGAGAAAAUCAAUAUAGAAAACCAGUUGAUCAAGAGGUUUGGGUUUAGAUUUUGCUUUAACAAUUGUCUUAACUUGUUAGAGGUUUCAAUGAAGGAUCAUACACUCAUCACAUAAUAUAAUUUCAUCUAGAUUGAUUUGAAGUAGGAUAUAGGAUAACCAUAAAAUCCUAACAAAAUUUAUUUUACCAAAAAAUAUUGUUAGUAAUUUCAAUCCUAGCCUUAAUCAACUUGCACGACUUAUACUUUUUAUGGAAUAACAGGUUUCUAGGCGUAUACUCCAUGUUUUAAUUGAGUCAUAACUUGUUCAUGACUCCAUAGAAUAAGGCAUUUGUUGGAAUUAAUGCAUUUGUCUUAUGUAUAGACUUUUUUUACUAGACUUUUUGUUUUUUUUUUUCUAUUCAUAGAAUAACAUGUAUGAAUGUGGCUUGUCUACUUUUAGUAGCAUUUUUUAAAAAAUUAAUUUAUGAGAACAGUCUUAACAUAUUUCUUUAUUAUUUCUAGAAAAAAAAACUAUUUGUAAACUUAAUUUAAAAACAAUUUUCUUAUUCUAUGUUUCCUCAAAGUACCAUACUUUUAUGUGCAUUGCAAUAUUUUGAGUUCAAUCUUUAUAUAUAUGUCUCUCAAAGUGGUUUUGAGUUUAGCAUAAUGAUCUUUUGAGUAAUAAUUGAAGGAAGCACCUGACAAAUUAUCUUUUAUUUUAUUUUUAGUAAUUCUACAUCUUUAUGAUAUGUAUCCCAUCUCAAAGUAAUUAUAAUGAUUUCCCUCCCUUCUUUGUGUGUUUUCUUUCUAUAUCUUGCAUUUUCUAACCCAAGACCACUCUUUUGUAUGUUAACCCUUAUCCAACUUACAAGGCUUUGGAAAUACUCAUGGACGCCAUAUUUUUCAAAAUAAUUUAUUCAAAUUUAGUUUUACAAGCAAAUCAUGACAACCUUCUUAUUUUCUGUUUACUUUAUCUAAGGGUGCAUUCUAUGCUCUUAAGGUCAUAUUAACUUUAUUAAUUCUUUUUAUCAUAUCAGAAUUUAACAAUCUCAUGAAAAAAAAUGGAAUCUACAUAUAUUUUGGAUAAUAAAUUUAUUUCUUAUAUUUGUUGAAUCUCUUAGAUAUUUCUUUCAAAAACAUUUCAUGUUAAUCACUUUGAAUAACCAAAAUAAAAAAUAAAAUAAAAAAUCUAAUUUUAAAAUGAUAAAAUUUUGGUUAUAUAUAUAUAUAUAUAUAUAUAUAUAUAUAUAUAUAUAUAUAUAUAUAUAUAUAUAUAUAUAUAUUAUAUUAUAUUAUAUUUCAUUAAUAUUUUGUGGGUCUAGACCGUCAACUAAAUGUGACCUUAAUUUACGUCGCAUGCGUUUAACAUUCAUAGAAAAUUAUAAAUAACAUUUAGUUUUCUCACAAUGAUAGUGAGAACUAAUUAACUUUUAAGAUUGAAUUUUCCUGGUUGCAUGAAGAAGUUGCCAAGGCACCUUCACAAUCAAGAUCAAUUAAUAUCUUAUUUGGGUAGACAAAGCCAAAAACAUUAUUUGUCACCUUCUUGAAAUAUACUACCCACUUUUCCACGAAAAUCCAUAUUUGAAAAGUUCAUAAAUCCUUCCCUUAGUCAUAGUUCUCAAUGCAAAGAAGUGAAAGUCUUUCGAGGCAAGAACAAAUAUCCGUUUAUUGCUAAGAAAAUUCAUUGGUAGGCAUUUUUUUUUUUUAAAUUGAGACAUGUAUAAUGCACCAUAUGGUUUAUGACCAUAUAGUGGUCAAUGUUAACAAAAUCAGUCUCGUUGGAAUUGUUGAAGGAAUAUGAUGCUAUCCAUUUAUUGCUAAGAAAAUUCAUUCGUAGGUCAUUGUUUGAAAUUGACACAUGUAUAAUGGACCAUAUGAUUUAUGACAAUGUAGUGGUCAAUGUCAACAAAGCCAAUCUUACUAGAAUUAUUGAAGGAAUACGAUGCUUGAAAGGACCACCUAAGAAGUUUGAUCCACAUACUAGGGUUGUUGAUGUAAUAAUGAGCAUUCAUAAUCUUCAAAAUAAUUAAUUUAUAUUUUAGUCUUAUUUGCAAAUCAUAAUAACCUUUUUAUUUUUUAUUUUUUUGUUUAUUUUACCUAAGAUACAUGCUAUUCUUAAGAUCAUAUCAACUUUACUUUAUGUUUGGUUUUAAAAUGGAUAAGAUAAAUGAUUAUUCAUUUUAUUUAUCAUAUCCCUAUAUAUGGGAUUUAACAAUCUCAGGAAAAACAUGCAAUAUAUAUGGCUUUUAGAUAAUAAAUUUAUUUCUCAUAUUCAUUGGAUUUCUUAAAUAUUUCGUUUGAAAAUUUUUUCAUUUUAAUCACUUUGAACAAAAAACAAAUAAUAAUAAUAAUUUAUUCCAAAAAGAAAAAAAUAAAAGUGUGUUAUAAUACAAAUUAAAAUUAUAUAUAUGUAUAUAUGAAAUGCAAAUUAAUAGUUUAUUCAAGUCUAAACCCUGAAUUAAAUAUGACCUUAAUUUAUAUAAUUUCAUCACUUUGCAUGUGUUUAACAUUCAUGAGAUGGUGAUACAUAAUAUUUCACUACUUGAUGCCUUUGCCUUUAGAAAUAUCUAAUGAGCAGGAAGAGAUAGAGGGAAGAAGCUAUGAAUUUCUCAAUUAUGGAUUUCUAUGAAAAGAUAGACGAUGAAUUUCAGGAAGAGGAUGAAUUUCAAGUUGAAAUGAAUUUCAUUAAAGCCACCAAAUUGAAAUGUCAAGCACUGUUACGCAAGUUUUUUAGUCUACCUAUCCCUAGAUUUAAAAAUUAAUUAAUUAAUUGAUUUUGAAUGCUAGUGGGGCUCAGACCUUCUUGAAACCUAAUUUGAAAGAUGUAACUUGAAAGAUAAAGUCACUCGCUCUGGAGGAAAAGUCAUUGACUAUGCAAGAAAAGGCUAAUAGGGAAUGGAGCUCAAUUUCUCUAUAACUAAUUAAUUAAUUAUAUAUGUAAUAUCAUAUAUAUAUAUAUAUAUAUAUAUAUAUAUAUAUAUAUGAUAUUAUUUUCAAGAAAAUAUGAUAUUUAAAGAUGUGGAUAUAUAGAAAAAAAUAAUAUUUUUAUGUUUAUUAAAAUAUAUUAUACUAUACUAAUAUUUGAUGUAUUGAAGGAGUAAAUAAUAGAAUAAAAAACAUAUCCUAUCCUAAUGUUUCAAAAUUUUUAAAUAAUAUAUGAAUUGCAUCCAACAUUAUUAUUAAACAAGAUAUAAUCUCUCUUAUGAUUCAAUAUUAUUUAGAGACUUCUCCAUCAUUUAUUUUAAAUUUGUUAACUAUAUCUCAUCCUAAUGUUUCACAAUAUUUUAAAUAAUAUAUGAAUUGCAUUGAAACAUUUGUUUUUAAAAAAGAUGUGAUCUCUCUUACAAUUCAACAUUAUUUAGAGACCUCUCCAAUCUUUAUUUUAAAUUUGUUAAACAAUCUCAUCUUGAUGUUUUACAAUUCUUUAAAUAAUAUAUGAAAUAUUGCAUUCUAACGUUUAUUAUUAAAAAAAGAUACAAUCUCUCUUACCAUUCAACAUUAUUUAGAGACCUCUCCCUUGUUUAUUUUAAAAUUGUUAUUUUAGAGUUUAUACUUAUGAAAUUAUUACAUGUUGUUAUAUGAUAUAUAUUAAGUUUAUAUAUGAUAUAUAAAAACAUUUUUAUAUAUGUAUUACAAAAAAAAAUUUAUGAUCCAUUAGAUAUGCAUCCCAUCUUUUUUAUGUGGUUGUUAAAUAUCAUGUGGAGGAGAUACUGGGAAGAGGGUGAAUGUAUUAUCUCACCUUUUAUCUUUAUUCUAUAUUCUAUCCACCAAGUUAAACAUUAAUUAAAGGGCAUAGUAUAUAUGGUUGAAUAAAGUUAAUAACAAGCCCUUUCAAGUAAUAUGAUUGAAGGUUUAGCUCCUCCAAGAUCAGUCUUGAACAAUGGAAAUGUGAGAUAGAGAUAAAGAAAGGCGUAAAACCAAUCAAAAGUUAGAGAAAAAAUUGUUUAUAGUGUUUGAUUCUUCUAUAGCAUUGACUAUCAUAGUCAGUAUUGAAGUAUGAUGGUGACUAGGUACAUCAACUUGCCCACAAUCUUUGAUUUUCUAUAGCAUUGACUAUCAUAGUUAGUAUUAAAGUAUGAGGGUGACUAGGUACAUCCACUUGCCCAUUGUGUUUGAUUUUUCUACAACAUUGACUAUCAUAGUCAGUAUUGAAGUAUGAGAGUGACUAGGUACAUCAACUUGCCUAUAUUGUUUGAUUCUUCUAUAACAUUGACUAUCAUAGUUAGUAUUGAAGUAUAAGGGUGACUAGGUACAUCAACGUGCCCACAGUGUUUGAUUUUUCUAUAGCAUUGACUAUUAUAGUCAGUAUUGAAGUAUGAGGGUGACUAGGUACAUCAACUCGCCCACUAUGUUUGAUUUUUCUAAAACAUUGACUAUCAUAAUCAGUAUUGAAAUAUGAGGGUGAUUAGGUACAUGAACUGGGUACAUCCAUUUGCCCACAAUAUUUGAUUCUUCUAUAGCACUAAUUAUCACAGUCAACAUUGAAGUAUGAGAGCGAUUAGGUACAUCAACUUGCCCAUAAUUUUUGAAUUUUCUAUAGCAUUGACUAUCAUAGUCAGUAUUGAAGGAAGAGGGUGACUAGGUACAUAUAGCACUGACCAUCGUAGUUAGUAUUGAAGUAUGAGCAUGACUAGGUACAUCAACUUGCCCACUAUGUUUGAUUUUUCUAUAACAUUGACUAUCAUAGUCAGUAUUGACGUAUGAGGGUGAUUAGGUACAUCAACUUGCCUAUAGUGUUUGAUUCUUUUAUAGCAUUGAUUAUCAUAGUAAGUAUUGAAAUUAUGAGGGUAACUAAGUACAUCAACUUGCCCAUAGUGUUUGAUUUUUCUAUAGCAUUGACUAUCUUAGUCAGUAUUGAAGUAUGGGGGUGACUGGGUACAUCAACUUGCCCAUAAUGUUUGAUUUUUCCAUAUAGAAUGUUUUGUAGCUAGCCAAGCAUGGUGAGCUAUUUAAUUACAAGACAUACCCACAUGCUUGUGUGAAAGAAAGGAGGUCCUUGCAAGUUGUUAUCCUAUUUAAUAGGUGAAGUAUUAGAAUUAUUGAAAAUAAUUGUCUUAAAUUAUGCGUCUAUGUAACUUUUUAUUAUAUUAAAUACAUGCUUUAGACAUUGUUACUAAAUACUGGAUUAAAACAUGAAUUUCCUAAGUAAUUAAAAUGACUACUCUUGAACUUGAAUUCCAUUCUUUCUCAUUUUAGCAAAAUAAAUAAAUAAAAUCCCUUUUAUAGAUGAUAAUUGUUGCAAAUUGUUAAAUUGUUGGAAAAGGCAUAUUAUAGGGUUUUGCUUUGAUAUUUUGGUGCUACUAAAUAGAUUGAACCAAUUUAGUAGGCUUUUACACUCUCCACAUAAGACAAUUAUAUGUUAUUUAACGGGGAUUGAGGACGGAGAUUUCACUUCAAGGCAUGAUGAAAGUCUUUUUUUUUUCUUCAAAGAACUGACACAACUAAAGUUGAUCUCAAAAGCAAAUCCAUAAAUGUAUUAAGAUCAAAUCUGAAAUUUCCAAAGGAGGGAAAAAAAUAACAAAGAAAAAAAAAACUCAUAUUUGGUAUAAGUGUAUAAUAUAAUUGAUUUUUAUGAAUUUCUAAACCUCCAAUAUAGUUUAAUAGGUUAUAUCUUAUCUAUACACCUUUCUCCAUGGAAUAUUAGGUACCAAUCAAUUCUAUUGGCAUCAUGUUUCCAUCUCUACUUCAAGUCAUAUUUAUGCCUGGACAUCUGUGGAUGGACCUUAUACCAAUGCAAAGCAAGUGGAGUAGCAAAAUUUCUUAGCCAUUGCAUUAUGAAUCUUAUCAUCUUUUUUGGAUUCUAGUUAUGACAAUGAAUAGCAUUUGACACUCAGCCUCUCAAACUUGACAAGUCCCUGUGGGACCAAUGAGGAAAGAAAUUGAUUCAUGCAUCAUUUUAUUGUGGGGGACUACAACUUGGAACCAUGAGAGAUCAUUUUUUUGUUUGUAGUUGUAGAUCUUUCUCUAUGCACUCACCUUCAAACUUUCAAAUAAUUCUCCUUUUGUGAGUUUAGAUUGUUAUUUUGCCCUUGUGGAAUUUGCUACUACAUUUCUAGUGAAACCUAACUUGGUAUCCCCUGCAUUUUUCUAAUUUGAAAAAAGUAUGCCUUUAUUGACUAAUGUAAGGCUCUCCAAAAUCUGAUUUUGAUUUUGUUUAUUUCUUUAUGAAUCAUAUCAUCAAUUUUUCUUAUGAAUUUUCUCUUAAGAAUAAGGAAAUUAGUAACUCUCUAAAAGUACCUCAUUUCUUAAUAAGAAAUUAAUGGUAAAAAAGGACAUCAACUUGCCCACAGUGUUUGAUUUUUCUAUAGCAUUGACUAUCUUAGUCAGUAUUGAAGUAUGGGGGUGACUGGGUACAUCAACUUGCCCAUAAUGUUUGAUUUUUCCAUAUAGCUAGCCAAGCAUGGUGAGCUAGUUAAUUAUAAGACAUACCCACAUGCUUGUGUGAAAGAAAGGAGGUCCUUUCAAGUUGUUAUCCUAUUUAAUGGGUGAAGUAUUAGAAUUAUUGAAAAUAAUGGUCUUAAUUAUGUGUCUAUGUAACUUUUUAUUAUAUUAAAUACAUGCUUUAGACAUUGUUACUAAAUAUUGGAUUAAAACAUGAAUUUCCUAAGUAAUUAAAAUGACUGCUCUUGAACUAGAAUUCCGUUCUUUCUCAUUUUAGCAAAAUAAAUAAAUAAAAUCCCUUUUAUAGAUGAUAAUUGCUGCAAAUUGUUAAAUUGUUGGAAGAGACUUAUUAUAGGGUUUUGCUUUGAUAUUUUGGUGCUACUAAAUAGAUUGAACCAAUUUAGUAGGCUUUUACACUCUCCACAUAAGACAAUUAUAUGUUAUUUAAUGGGGAUUGCGGACGGAGAUUUCACUUCAAGGCAUGAAGAAAGUUUUUUUUUUUUCUUCAAAGAACUGACACCACUAAAGUUGAUCUCAAAUGCAAAUCCAUAUGUGUGUGAAUAGAAAAUCACCAAUAAUUGUUAGUUUUUCUUUUAUGCACCUGUAAGAGAUAAUAAUAAACUUAGUAGCUUGUUAUGCUUUUGAAAUUAAUAAAUCAUAAUCUAUCACGUGAUGAUGCCAUACAGAUUAAUUUUAGGUGGUGUUCUUCGACUGAAGCCUAGGACUUUGUGUUCCUUCCCAUGGUUCCCACAGGGUUUCUUUUUUUUUUUUUUUGGGNNNNNNNNNNNNNNNNNNNNNNNNNNNNNNNNNNNNNNNNNNNNNNNNNNNNNNNNNNNNNNNNNNNNNNNNNNNNNNNNNNNNNNNNNNNNNNNNNNNNGGGGGGGGGGUGUCUUUGAUGUUUCCAUAUGAAGAUACGAAUAGAUAAAAUGAAAUUAUGUCAAAAUUUCCGUUUCCAUAUCAGGGUGCAAAGGAAAAUGGCAUGGGCUAAUAUUGUGUAGCAUGUACCUUUUUCUGGCUUCUUUAUGUACUCAAUUUCAGAUUACAUGUCAUUACUCAUCUUUAGCCUGCAUUUCCCACCUUCUGCUUCACAAUUUCCACACACAGGUUUUGACCAAUUCAUGGAAAAUCUAGAUUCCCCAUAUUCUAUAUUUAAUGGGAGUGAAGUUUCGGAAAUCUAGCAAGCAAAAUAUAUUCAUAAAUAAAUUAAAAUAGACAUUGCUCAUAGAUACGUACUGAAAUACAAUGUAUGGUAUUAUCGGCAUAAUUCAUGUAGUAUUAUGGUCCUAUCACAUCUAGCACAUUUCACAUUUCUAAAGAUAAAAGAAAUAGAGUCCUAUAAAUAUAAGGACCAACUUACUUUUAGUGUCAAGAAAAUUGACUCGAUGGUUUUAUUUGAAAAGUCAUAUUCAAUAAAUAAAGCAUCAAAAUUGACCACAUGUACAAUGGUCCACAAAAAUUAUUGAAGGAGUGUGAUGGCUGUAGGAGACCAUUUUAAAAUUUUGAAUAUUUAUUUACUCCUACAAUUUUAUGCUCAUAAUGAAUUAUAGUAAUAGACAUAUACCAAGGAAAGGUUUGAGCUCUCAAAUUGUUCCUUCUUUGUUAAUUCUUUCUCUAUUAAAAUGCAACUUUUGAUUUGAGAGCCUGAUUUAAAGUGUGAAGGGUAAGAUCAAAGUCCUAAUUAAAUUUCAACAAGGAGUAGAAAUCUAUGAAUGGAGAAAUCAAAGUGUCCACUAAUUUGAAGAACCAUAUAUGGAAUGGUGCAAUCCAAUGUCCAAGAAUGUAAUUGUAACCUUUAGAGGGCCCAAGGACACUUCUCUAACAAAAACUAUAUGGAAUUACUUACAAAAGAAAUGUUGUACUUGGCACUAUUGUUCCUUGAAAGCCCAGAUUACUACUAGCAACAAGUUAUAACAAAAUAACUUACUUGAACAUCUACAACCCUAAUAAUUAUUUUUGUAGAAUACUUGAAAAAAAAAAAAUAGAACUUCAAAGGAAAUGGAGGAUUUUCUUUGAUAAUUUUACGGGCAAGCAAGAACACUAUUCAAACAUCUAAAAUGAUAUUUUAUUACUUGUACAUAACCUUUCUUACAAGGAACCAAACUAUUGUUUGAAGUAGAAACUUUAUUUUAUUACAUACACUGAUCUCAUAGAAACCUUACACAUAAGACACAAUCACACAUUAUUAUUGGAUUACAAAAUAAGCAACUAGAUGGAGUAGGACUACCUUCCAUUUAAGCUGAUUGUACCCAUGGAAUUGGAUGAUGAAAUUGGUACCUCUACCAUGGAUUGCUCAUGAUUCUCGAUAGACCAUAGAGUUGGCUUAGGAGGCAUUUUCAAUAGUUCAAUCUCUCCUUCAAGCAUCUCCAAUGUUUUGCUCAUUGAAGGACGAUCCAUAGGCUUCAUUUGUACACACCAUAGCGCAACUAUCACCAUUUUCCUUACAUACUUUUUUUCAUCCUCAGUGGCAUCUCCCAUUUCCAUGUCCUCUCCUUGAUCAUAUCUAUCAUAAAUCCAUGAUGGGAAAUAUAUUUGACUUGAAUGCUCUGCAAAUGCAUUCACAUUCUUCCUUUUUCCCACCAUUUCCAAUAACAACAUUCCAAAACUAUAAACAUCAGCCUUAAAUGAUACACCUCCAAUGUUUUUGUAGAACAAUUCAGGAGCAAUGUAGCCCAAGGUUCCUCUAGCAGCAGUGACUGAUACAAUACUUUCAUCUGUUGAGUAUAAUUUUGCAAGACCGAAAUCUGAAACUUUUGGUGUGAAGUCUUCAUCAAGAAGAAUGUUGUGUGGCUUGAUAUCAAAAUGAAGAAUUUGCAUAUCACACCCUUGAUGUAAGUAUUCGAUCCCACGUCCUACUCCAAGUGCAAUCUUGUAUAAUCUUUCCCAACUCAAAGGAAUGUUGUUUCCUUGAUCAAGAAAAACAAACUUAUCAAGAGAUCCAUUGGGCAUGUAGUCAUAUAUAAGGGCCCAUUUUGAUCUCUGUAUGCAAAAUCCAACAAGUCUCACCACAUUAACAUGAUGAAUUCUUCCAAUUGUAGCAACUUCAUUGAUAAAAUCUUGCCCAUUAGCCUUUGACAUAACCAACAUUUUUACAGCUACAAUGCGGCCACUUCGGAGUUUUCCUUUGUACACAGAGCCAAAACCUCCUUGACCCAAUUUAUGCUUAAAAUUAUAAGUCAUCUUCUUUAUGUCUGAAUAUGUGUAUUUGAUUGGUCGAAGAUUUUGGUAGUUAUGUAGGAAUUCUUCAAUAUCAUCAUCUAAUGAUAAGUGUCUCCGUCGAAACUUGUUAAUUAAAUAGGCAAAGAGGCACAAAAUACCAAUCACAGCUCGUCCGAUGAUGAUCAUGACUACAUAUAAAUCACAUGUUAAAGAUAUGAAAAACGUCAGAGGAAGAUUUAUAAUCAUCUAACCACAUUCAAUCAUCAAAUGAAACAAAUGAAAAGGUCAUUUCACCUAUAUCUUAGGUUUUGGAUUUCCACUCAAACAUAGUCAUGUGACUCUUUUUCUUUUGGGUGACAGCAUGAUAUACAUAAAGGAUGGAAUAAUCAAUUGAGAAAAUUUGUUUUGUUGUACAAAAUUAAGGAAUGAAAUUAGAUGCCAAAUUCCAACUCUAUUCUUCAAUUUCCUUGUACUCUAACAAAUCUGGGAAUAAUUUGAAAUCAAAUACAUCACAAAUUUUUAAAAAAAUAAUAAUAAUUUUAUUUGAAAGAAAAUUUCUGAAUUUCACAAAUUGGAAUUUCAAUUUAUGAUUCAUUUUGUACAACCAAAUGCAUUGCCAAACUUGAUUGUCGGCUUUUAUCUUGAAUGAAAGGAUUCCAAAAGUGCCAGGCAAAAAGAGGUAUAAGACGUGUGCAAUUAUAUACUUAUUGAGAUCUGGAAGCCUUACCCAUGAGUUGAAAUAUAUAGACUGCCCCAACUGCAAACAUGAGAGGAACAAAAAUUAUUAAGUUCAAGAAAAGAAAGAUUCAUACAUAUGAUAGAUUUAAAAUGAGCAGGAAACAAAUAGAAGAGAAAUAUUAUUACUGCUAUUGGUUUUGAUUAAAAAUUAGGAAGAGAUGGAUAGGAUAGAAGAGAAAGGGUAAUAUUAAUAAUAAUAAUCAUCAUCAUAGUUAUUAUUAGUUAAGUGGACGAAAAAUCCAAUCAUUUAUUAUACUAUUGAUUAAUUUAAAUGUCUUAUAAUAUUUUUAAAAUUUUUAGAAAUUUAUUAUAUAUAUUUAAAUUAAAAAUAAAAUUAAGCACAUACCACAUACUGACUAUUGUGGGAUUGAAUGUGUAAUUUAGAAUAACAGUUCUUUAUUUUAUUCAUUUAUCGUGAACUCCAAAAAUAAAUUAUCAUUUCAUUUUAUCAUCAAAUUAAUAAUUUUUUAUUAUUAUUAUAAAGAACUUCUCAAAGCCUUACCAAUUAUGUCUCCAUCCAAAAGAUAUCCGAAGUCUGCAGGUUGAAAUUCAGUAAAUAUGGUCAAUGGUAAAAGUAGAAGAAGCUUUUGCAUUUUGCUCUAUGUGACUGCCGACUAGACAAUGAUAUUAAGCAGCCCAUAGGUACCAUCUUGAAAUUGAUGGAAUGAAAAUAAAAAAAUAAAAAAAUAAAAAUCUCUAUCUUUCUUCUACAACAAAUGGAACUAAUAAGCCUUACUUUGGAUAAAGUAGUCCACACCUAAUAUAUAUCCUGUUAACAGAAAAACAACAUAAAUUGAAUUUAACAUGAGAAAGAUAAUAGAAGUAAAAAUGAACAUGAAAGAUAAUAAAAGUAAACUCCCAAAGUCUCACUGAUUAUAAUUGGCAGAUAGGAAAAGAACCCAACUGCAAGAUCAAACCAAUUAAGCAAAUAUUAUUAGUUAUAAAAUGUUGAAGCAAAAUAAAUACAUGAAUGGAUAAAAAUAAACAUUGCUCAUACGUUUGGUGCACUGUACGGUAUAAUUGCUAUAAUUCACAUCGCAUUCUAGCCCUUUCACCCAGCAUUCGCUUUUGCAGCGGAAGCUCAAGAAUGAAAGUUCAAGCCCCAGAAGCAGCAUUUCUUGCAAAUCUGACAUUGAAAGAUUGCCGGGCUUCAAGAAUUGAGUAAUAAUAGUCCUGCUGAUGGUGCAUGGAUACUUAAUAUCUCCCACUUCCAUGGACUCGCUUCCGACUAGUGCAUAAACAUAUGCUUGUGAGGAAGAUGAAGUCGCAUUGCAAGGAGUGAUAGGAAUGUAGCUGCCGUCACUUAUUGGCUGGUCGCAAUUCAUUAAAACUGCUGUACUGGUCAUUCCCUUCCACUCCAAAUAAUAUGUACUGUAAUCAUCGAAGAUUUCUCUUGUCAAGAAAUAGAGAGGAGUUGAGAGACAGUUGCCCUUUUCGACCCCAGGAUCCACUACCCGAAUGGUAUAGUGAUCGUAGUUGAUAUCAGCAACAUAGUAUUUCUCACCCUCCCGGACGUUUACCAUAGUACGAUUGUUUUCGCAGACCAAUUCAUAGUCAGGAUCACCACACCCAAAUGGAUCACCUUUCAAUCGGAAAGGGUUGCUGAUGUUUUGAAUCUCUCCACAAGAAGAGGGUCUGCAAGUCUGGUUUCCAUUAGCAGCACAAAUUGCAAGCAAGAAAGUGUGGAAGAGCGCUAACGCCACAAGUUGUGCUUCUCUAAACAUCAUAACAUUUGAGAGAGAUACGGAGUUGGAAUUCUUCUGCUUUUAUGUUUAAUUUAAGAGAGAGAGAUCAAAUUAUCCCCCAACAGGCUUGCGGUCCCAAUUUUCCUGCAACGUGAAAAGAGUGUGAAAUGAGCCUUAUUGACUGUUAUAGUCAACUACUUUGAUUUUUCUAUGUAUGGAUAACUUCACAUUGAAGAAACGCAUACCCACCCUCUGUUCAUGAUCAGGUUCAAUCAUUAGAGGCUUCUGAAUUAGCAUAAUGAAAAUGAAAAUCAAGAAUCACUAUAUUUGAAAUUAAUUUUUUUUUUUUUUUUAAAAAGGAUCUUACUACUGAAUUAGCAACUUUCCUCGACAUGGGCCAUAAUGUAUACCAAAUUAACCUUGUACAAAUAAUGAAUUAUGUACGGUAUCAUGCUAAGUUACCAUUUUUCCAAUAAUUUAAACUUCUAUAUGUUUUAUAUAGUUUAUUAUUAUUUGUAUUUUAAGUUUUGUUUCUUCUAACCAAAUGCCUACUUUAAAUCAAAAUUUGAUUUUUAAAAAACAUACAAAAUAAAUUAAGGAGGACGGUCCAUUUAGAUUUAAAUUAUAAUAAAUGAAGUAUUAUUAAAUUUUAGAGUAGGUAAUGUGACUUACAUAAAAAUGUUUAUAUGUAUAAAUUAAAUGGAAUACUUACAUUUUGAGAGAGACAAAAUAAACAUAUACAUGUGAUACAGGGUGAAAGGACAUUGUUAUAAAGUGAAAAUCAAUUAGUAAAAUGUACCACCGCAGUAAUCCUCCUUCCUACAAUUCUUCUCUAUAAAUUUUCAGGCUAAUCUCCUCGCGAUAUUUGUAUCUCCCUUUCCACUUUCUUUUCUAUCCCAGAGAUUUCUGUCCUUGGCAAAAAUCACAAAUUCCUUCCAUAAAAAUGGAUCGAUAUCUCUGUUUGUUUUUGUUCUUGUUUCUGACCUUGUUUGUGGAGAUGAGAGGGGGCCGAGAUGAGUGCAUGACAUCGAAUGGUUGUGGCGACCAGGGUCCACUCAUCCGGUUCCCUUUCCGUCUAAAACACCAGCCACACCACUGUGGAUAUCCGGGAUUUGAGUUAUCUUGCACUGAGAAUAAUCAGACCAUGCUAGACCUGCCAGUUUCGGUAAAGCUCUUGGUGAAGAAAAUAGUUUACAAAUCCCGGGAAAUCAUUGUCCAGGACCCGGAUAAUUGCCUUGCGAGACAGCUUCGAAACCUCAAUUUAGCUGCCUCCCCCUUCUACUUCAAAUUUGGACUGGACUUCACCUUCUUCAUUAAUUGUUCCUCAUAUAAAACUCCAGAACCCGGAUCGUGGGCUUAUGAUUUUGAGCCCAUCCCUUGCCUUUCUAACCCUGGUAACCCAGUUUAUGCUGUUUAUUCCUCCGGAUCUGUCCAAUAUACGGAUCUAUCCUCUUGCCGCAGGCUUUACAACGCUUCAGCUCCAGGUAAUCGAGAUUAUGGGGAUUAUAUGUUCAAUGGAAGUGCAUUUUCUUUGAAGUGGUCGAAAUCAAUAUGUGGAAGCUGCCCAGAAGGAGGAAAAAUAUGCAGACUGAAGAAGAGUAAUAGCAGGGAACCAGAAACUGAAUGUAUUAAAGGUAAAGAGACUGCAUCUUAAUUCCCCAUUCAUCUUCUAUUCAUCUUCUUUUCAUCUUUCAUGCUCACCUCAUAUCCUCUACUAUGAUUUAAUAUACAAAUGCUCCAUUUUGGAAUUAAAAAAAAACCAUUGUAAAGGAUAUGAGCUGAUAAAUUCUGCUGAUUGAAUUUGCGUUUUAUUGGGAUUUUGAAAAUCUGAAAAAAAAAAAAAAAAAAAAAAAAAAAAGAAGAAGAAGAAAGGAGAAUAAUUUGAUUACAAGGGAUAAAAUUAAUAAUCUCUAAAUCUGAAAAAAUAAUUUAAAAUAAUUAGUGAAAAUAUUUUUUUACAUUUUAAAACUCCUGUUAGAUGAAUUUUUGGUUAAAGUAAUAUAUUGUUUUUCUUGCAUUUCACCUCAAAACAUCGAGCUAAACUAAUGGAUCCAAACUAAGGCCUUUUCUUUUCUUUCUUUGAAUUUUUAGCGCUCAAUAAAAUUAAGGGAAAUUAUUGAACAAAGAGUUAAAUGUUUAUUUGGAUUUAGUUUUUUGAAAAAUUAAAGAAAUAAAAGAAAAAUGUUAAAAGUUCUUUUAUAAUGGAUUCUUUCCUACCUACUUACAAUUAAUAUUUUUCUUUAUUUUCUUCUUAUUUUUCCAAGGACGGGAACCUAAAAAUACAAAGUAAUACAAUUGAUAUUCAUUUUCUAGUUUUAAUGGUUAUCCACAUAGAUGACUUUUCCCUUAUACCUAACAUGAGAAGUUCGAUGUUAAUGGUCAAUUGAAUCGCCAAGUGUCAUCGUACCUACCAAUUGGAUCACUGUAUAUAAUGGUAUAGAAUAAGGAUAGAGAUUUCUUCACAUUCCUUUUACAUAGAGUUUCAUUUUUAUUUUUAUUUUUAUUUUUGUCAUAAAAUUGGAUGAAUUUGUGUUUAGGGAGUCAUGAAGACAAUACGGUAUUAUGAAACAUAAAACUAUGAUACAUAAUAGGGAUUAGAAGGGUAUGUUUUAAUUUCCACUACAAGUUAGGAUAGAGUUAGUAGCAGAAUUGGUAUUACCUCAAAAAUGAACCAUAGAAUACAAGAAAGGGACCCAAAAAGAUAAGGUUGAAGCCUAGAAUAAAAUUAAUUAGAUUAAAAUCAUAUCACAUGAACAUGUAAUUUAGCAUGUUUUUAUUAAUUCCAAGAGCAUAACAAGCUAAUUCCUUUUUUUUUCUUAAUUUUUUAUAGGUGUAUCGAAGAAAUUAAUUGUGAUAGGUAAUAUUCUAUUUAUACAUAUUUUAUUAUAGAGAUAAAGAUUCUUAAUUUGGUUAUUUUACCUAUUUAUUUAAAUAAAAAGUUUAAGUUUUCUUCUUUUUAUUUAUGCAGGUGCAAUCUUUGGUUUCUUUCUUCUCAUGUUAGUAAUUGUUGUGGCUUAUCGAGUCUAUAGCUCAAAUAAAGUAGAAAGAGAUAAUAGAGUAAAGGUUAAAAAGUUUCUAGAAGACUAUGAAGCUCUCAAGCCCUCAAGAUACUCCUAUGCUGAUAUUAAAAGGAUUACGAGUCAAUUCAAAGAUAAAUUAGGGGAAGGAGGAUAUGGAACAGUGUACAAAGGAAAGCUUUCAGAUGAAGUUUUUGUUGCAGUAAAAAUCCUUAACAAUUCUCAAGGAAAUGGGGAAGAGUUCAUUAAUGAAGUAGCAACAAUGGGUACAAUCCACCAUGUUAAUAUAGUUCGUUUAGUUGGAUUUUGUGCUGAUAGAUUUAAACGAGCUCUAAUUUAUGAGUACUUACCAAAUGAGUCAUUGGAAAAGUUCAUAUUUUCAAAAGUUGUCAAGAACUAUUCACUUAGUUGGAAGAAACUUCAAGAAAUUGCUAUAGGUAUAGCAAAAGGAAUUGAGUAUCUUCAUCAAGGUUGUGACCAAAGAAUCCUUCAUUUUGAUAUCAAACCUCAUAAUAUUUUACUUGACCACAACUUUAAUCCAAAGAUUUCUGACUUUGGUUUAGCCAAAUUGUGCUCCAAGGAACAAAGUGCAGUCUCUAUGACAAUUGUAAGGGGAACAAUGGGCUAUAUCGCUCCAGAAGUGUUAUCUAGGAAUUUUGGGAAUGUGUCUUAUAAGUCAGAUGUUUAUAGUUUUGGAAUGUUGUUACUUGAAAUGGUUGGAGGAAGGAAGAACAUUGAUGUUAGUGUAGAGAGUACUAGCCAAGUAUAUUUCCCAGAAUGGAUUUAUAAUCAUUUGGAUAUAGGGGAAGAAUUGCAUAUUCGAAUUAAAGAAGAAGGAGAUGUUGAGAUUGCAAAGAAAUUAGCAAUUGUGGGACUUUCAUGUAUUCAGUGGUGUCCAGUGGAUCGUCCUUCCAUGAAAAUUGUGGUUCAAAUGUUGGAAGGAGAAGGAGACAAGUUAACCAUGCCUCCUAACCCUUUUGCUUCAACGGUUCCAACAAACUUGAGCAAGCCAGGUAGAGCUUUUCAACAAGAGUUGGCAAUAAUUUCAGAACUAGAUUAAAAAUAAUUGUCUAUAUGUUCAACUUAUUAUGAAUGUAUAGUUCAAUAAAAAUUCAUAUUGUAGUUGUUCAACAUCAUAGCAUCUUUAUUUAUAUUUCUGUUAAUUGAACAUAUGAUUGUAUAAAAUGAUUAUACUAGUGGCUCAAUUGAUGUUAGAUUCCAGAAGUUCUUAUUCCCAUGUAAUGUAUUUCUUGUGUAUUAAAUUUUAAUGAAUAUGUCCAAGAAUAUUCUCGCAACCCAAUUUAUAGUUCAGCUACACACAACUCUAUAGAUCACCUUUCAAUCAAGUAAGAGUAACUAAUGUUCAUCACAUUCAAGAUAGAAAGUAUUGCACAAAAUAGUAAUAGAAUUAGAUCUAGGAAACUUGGAAAUAAGAGUCCCAUCCACUACACCCAUAUAGAGUUUCUUUUGUUUCUUUUUUCUUUUUCUUUUUUUUCUUUUUUACCUUUACCACUUUUUUAUUGGACUGAGAAGUAAGCCUAAUUAGUUAUGUAAUGACUAAAUUAUAUUGAAUGGUGAAGGCUCGUUGGAGAACUUUGCAUCGAAUAAAAUGGAGAUCGAUUUCGAUGUGUUUACUUCUUGCAUGAAACACUGGAUUUGCUGCUAGCUAAGUAGCACUUUGGUUAUGACACCAUAUCAAUGGUGAAGAUAGGGCAGGUAUCCUAACAAUAAAGGAGUUAGAGAGUCAAGUGAAUGCUUGAUCUUGAACUUUAUCAAUACAAAUUACCAAUGGACCAUAUGUACUAGACCACGAAAAAUAUUAGAUUGUGGGAGAAAUGAGCCAUAUGAUAUGUGACCAUGUAGUAAUCGUUGAGAAAGGAAAAAAACAUGGACUCAAUAGAUUAUGUAAUAAUAAUAAUAGACUCAAACUCUCUCAAUAUAUGGUAUAUAUUGUUUAACCUAAACAACAAAAAGCCCAAUGGUUGAGGAGCUUGAUGCAAACAAGCUUAUCUUAGCCGAGAGGUCUGAGGGUUCCUCCAUGUGUUUAAGAUUAACUGCAUUUAGGCUAGAACAUCAAAUCAAUGGAACAAUCUACUCUGUUUCACUAGGCCAAGCCCAAUGGUAGGUCCAUAGGCAGAGCUUGGAUCAUGUGCUAGUCAGGCUGGGUUAGGCCUGAUACAGACCUAAUUUGAUCAUGGCAACCCAAUAAGAUAAUUAUUUUCCUUGUUUUGUGUUUUUCUAAUUUUUUUUGUUUGUAGUAAUUAAUUAUAUUAUAAGCAUAGCAAUCUAUGGACCCCGUAUUUUGGCUCAUGCGUUUCCCACUCGAUGGCGAGCUCGAUUUUUAUUUUGAAAAAUUGAUUAAUUUAUUUGGUUGAAAAAAAUUGACUUGGAGUCGCCACUUAUUUUUGUUUUAUUUUUAAAAGGGUAAACAAAAUAAGAAAGAAAACCCUAAGUGUGACUCCUUACUUUGGAAAAGGUGGUCUGUGAAAAACCGGAUCGGGUUCGGGGGUCAGGUUACUUAUCGGGAAGGUACGGUAAAGACCGUAGCACCCCUCUAAGUCCCUAAAGUCGAGUCUCUACUAAUACAAUGAAACUGACGUGGCAAUCAACGAGAAAGUCAAUGGAUACUCACCUAAAUCAUGCACAAUAUGGGAAUCAAAACACGCAAUAGAGAUUGACUAGAAUGAGAGUGGAUGCGUACCUCGGCCACGAACCACAAUGCGCUAUCAAGAAACGAGAUUAGUACACAAUUAAUGAAUACAAAAUAUAGCAGUGCAAAACGAAAAUCAAGCGAAAUACAUCAAGUACGACAGUUAACAAUCGAAAAGGGUCAAACAUAGGGCCCCCACCAAAGCCCCAAUUAUUGCUCAUGAAUUAGUCUUACAGAUUCUGUGUUUUACAAUUAUGAAGAACUCAUUACUGCUUACAUAAAAUCAAGAAAAUCAUAAGAUUAUUUAGGAACCGAAAUGGGAUUAAAACUAUUCGAGUGAAGACUGGAUUCUUGGAGUUUAUUUGAAAAUUGGAGUUUUUGGAAUUAAACUUAAAAGAUUAGAGCUCUGGUAAUUAAAUUGAAAUUCGUCACAGAAUAUGAGAAAUGAACUUUAGGAAAUUGAUCUGCGAGACUAUGGAUUUUGAAAGUUGAAUUUGUAAUAAUAGUAAUUAUAAGGAAUGAACUUUGAGAAAUCGGACUGCGAGAAUGUAGAUUUUGAAAGUUGAAUUAAUAAUAAUAGUAAUUAUAAGAAAUGAACUUUGAGAAAUCGAACUGCGAGAAUGUAGAUUUUGAAAGUUGAAUUAAUAACAAUAGUAAUUAUAAUAAUAAUAACAAUAAGAUUUCGAAAGUUUGAAUUAAUAGUAAUAAUAAUAAUAAGGUUUUGAAAGUUUGAAUUAAUAAUAAUAAUAAUAAUAAUAAGAUUUUGAGAGUUAUAAUUAAUAAUAAUAAUAAUAAUAAUAAUAUUAAUAAGAUUUCGAGAGUUCUAAUUAAUGAUAAUAAUAAUAAUAAUAAGAUUUCGAAAGUUUGAAUUAAUAAUAAUAAUAAUGAUAAGGUUUCGAAAGUGUAAAUUAAUAAUAAUAAUAAUAAUAAGAGAUGAACCUUAGGAAAUUAAACUGCAAGAAUAUAAAUUUUUAAUAAUAAUAAUAAUAGUAAUAAUAAGAAAUGAACUUUAGGGAAUUAAACUACAGAUUUUGAAAGUUGAGUUAAUAAUAAUAAUAAUACUAAUAACAAUAAUAAUAAAAAGGUGAAUUUGAAGAUUUAAGUAAUAAUAAUAAUAAUAAAUGAAUUUUAGGAAAUUAAACUAUAGAUUUUGAGAGUUGAGUUAAUAAUAAUAAUAAUACUAAUAACAAUAAUAAUAAAAAGGUGAAUUUGAAGAUUUAAGUAAUAAUAAUAAUAAUAAAUGAACUUUAGGCAAAUUAAACUAUAGAUUUUGAGAGUUGAGUCAAUAAUAAUAAUAAUAAUAAUAAUAAUAAUAAAUUGAAUUUGAAGAUUUAAGUAAUAAUAAUAAUAGAAAUGGGCUUAGACAAUGGCUACUCAAAUUGAGCCCUUUAAUGGGCCUAGGGUGGGAAGACUGAAUUUGGAGAUUUAAAUAAUAACAGAGAUGGGCUUAGGACUAAACGGGCUUAGGGUAAUGGCUACAAAUUGAGCCCUUUAAUGGGCCUAGGGUGAGAAGAAUGAAUCUCAAAGAAAGCCAGUGGGCCUUGGGCAUCUUGGUGGUGCAUGGGAUAAGUGGGGUAAGUGGUGCAGAUAGGUGAGAAAUGGGGGUGUGUGAAGGGGCGUGGUGUAGAGAGAGAAAAGGUGGCGUGAGAAGUGUGAAGCUUUAGGGGGAGAAAUGGGUAUGAGACUAGUGGAAUAGAGAGAGAAGGCAUGAACGGAAUGCAUGAAUGAUGAUAUGUAUGAGGGGGAAGGAUGGAAACGCAGGAUUGGAGGACAGUGGGCCUGUGGGUAUAGAAAUAUAGAGCAUGAUGGUGAGUGUUGUGUGCAUGGGACUAAUCGGACGAGUUUGCAACUUUGCAUGGAUAUAGACAUGUGGAGGGAGUGCAUUUGAAAUGCACUUGGAAAAUGGAUGAGUGGUGUGGUGAAUACGCUUGACAGGUUUGAGAAAUGGACAUGAAGACAAAGAUCAUGAGGGAUAGAAUUAAGAGCAAAGGAUAGUGAGAGAAAAUGGGUAUAGAAGAGGUGGGGAGAGAGAAAAGGUGGCGAGAAGAAGAGAGGCUUGGAGCACUUACGGCGGCUUCAGAGGAGAUGGGUGUGAAAGAUGGCGGCCGCUGUGCUGAAACGAGUGGCUGCUCACACUUCCCUGGACGAAACUCGGUCUCCGAGUGGAGUAACUCGUGGCAAGGGAACUUGAGGAGCCGCCGCUGCUGCAACUGUUGCCGACGUCGGAGUUGGGAGGCAGCAGAGCACCGGAGAUGGAGACGGAGUCGAAGUCAUCGACCGCGGAGAGGGAGAGAUGAGGAGGAUAGACGAAUGAUGGGUGGGGUGGAGUAAGAGAUGACUAACGAGGUGCGCCCAUAACAGGAUGCGGAGAGAGGUGGACCGGUUGAAGGGAUUCAAGAUGAUAGGUAUGUGAGAUAGAGAUGUUGACAUGUGGUGGUCAUGGAAAAAUGGGUAUCAACAUGGAUACGUGCAUGGAGAUAAUGGGAUGAGGUUGAAAGUGAUGGAUAUGGUAGAUGGGGACAUCUGUGAUGGACGAGCAUGGUGAUGGGGUUGAGGGUGGAAAGUUAUGAUCACUUUCGUCAACAGAGGGACAGCCUCCAUCACAAGGUCAGCUGCAUCUGAAGGGAGUUUCUUGCGCAUAUUUGCAGCAUUCGACAAGGCCACUCAUCAGACCUCCACGAAGAAGAGAUCCAGACAUGAAAGCACUGCCAUGAGUGCCCCAGCUCGUAAGCAGACGGUUAGGUGUUCCUAAGGUAUCCUCUAAGAGUUUGUAAAGACUGCUCAGCCAAAUCCAUGUACACAGUUGUGAGCUACCUAGCACAGAAGUAUGAGACUGCACAAAAAUGCUCUACUAUUACACAUGAAGAAAGCAAUACAUCACAUUAAUGGAUCAAUGCCCGGGCCUAAGAAGCAUAAUAUCGAGAUUGCUCUCAUGAUUGGGCAAACCCACAAGCACUAGCACGAAGGAAUCCAAUGAAAAUGCACUGAGUGACUCCUCGGCAUCAAUGGAGAGCAUCCCACUCAGCUGUGUCAAGGCCUCUACCUGCCUUCUCUCUUCACUGUUUACCUCCAGAGUAUAUUUAGACCCGACAAUCGAUCCAGAAGGCAAACUACCCAGGCUCAACAAUGCUCAUGACCUCCUUCCUUGUGGCUCAUGCAUUUGAAUAAUAAAUAAAUAAAACAGAAAACAGAGGAAAACCAUAGCAAAGGAAAGUCUCUAGAAAGAGAGCAUGACAAAGCAAAAAAAACACAGGACAUCAGUCGAAGCUCCACUGCAUGGAUUAUCAGUGAGCAGGCUGAUCGAGUGGGGGAGACCAGAUCGGAUAGGAACAAAACAUGAUCUUCGAGCACUUAGCAAUAGAGGCAAAACAGAGUGAAAUCAUCUUUUAGCAAAAACAAAAGGAGUUGCAGAAUAUGAAACAACAACAAGCAGCCUACAAUCCUCUCAAAUAUAAACAAGUAAAUCAAGAGUAUAGCCUUGAGCCCACACUCAGUCCAAACAAUGCCAAGAAACCAGUGAGGAGCAAGGUAAGGUAAUAAAGAAAACAGAGUCGUAGGGCUUGCACUUACCUUUUGAUCUUCCUUUCAAACAAGUGCCUCUUUCUUUUUUUCCGAGCUUCAAUCUCCAAGAUCACCCCCGGAACCAGCAAGUCCCCUCCUCUGUAACCCCCUUAAUGGCUUCCUUCCCCCUCAGAUAUCAGACCCCCCUUUUUCCUAUCUAGCCCUCUUCUUUUUAUUCCUCUGUUCGUGUCUUCCUCAGCAAGCCAACCUUCCCUUUCCUGUUCAUCACAUCAGCAAGCAUGGGCUUGCAACCACUCUCUCUGCUGCUGCACGUCUCAUACAGACGGCAUCCAACCUCAGCUAGGGUCCCCUACCCCUUCUAAUAAUAUCCUGAAAAUUCAAGAAGAAAAGAAAGAAAAACAAACCCCCCCGGGUCUUCCCCACCAAAGGGGGUCUACACAAUCAUUGUAACUAUCUUUGUUAUUAAAUUUUUUUGUUCCAUUAUUUCAGAAUUUCUAAUUUUAUUUGAUAAAUUAAUUCUUCUUUAUCAUCUAUUAAAUCUUUACUUAAACUUAUUUUAUUAUAAGUUUAUUCAUUUAUUUUUAUUCCAUUUUCUUUUUACAACUUUCGUGUCCUUAUUUAUGUUUUCCAUAAAUAUAACAAUAAUUUAAACAAAAAUAAUAAUUACUUGGAGAUAUACCAAACAAAACAUACACUUCUUCAAUGAAAAAAGUGACACAAAAUUAAAAUAUAAAUUCUAAAGAAUUAAGACUAAAUUAAAACAAAUUUAGAAUUGUAGGAUUUUUAAAAAAAACUAUUUGAUAAAUUUUAGCUUUUUAAGCUAUUAAAGUAAAAUGAGGGUUUAUCCCUUAUUCUUUAAUAAUAUAUGAAAAAUUAUUUAUAUAAUAAUGAAAAAAACUUUGGAACGUUUUCUUAGUUCUUUUAAAAAAUUUCUAGUUGAAAAUUAUUAAGGUAGUAAUGAAAACUAUCAAUUAUCAUUCUUUCUUCUUCUUUACCUUGCUGUAAAUUCUCUAUCUCCACAUCCACUAAGUCAAUUCUUUUGAAGGUUUUUCUUUGCAUUUGAAGGACUUUAAUUCUUUUACAAUGAGCAAUGUGGAAUAGGCUAGAUGAGGGAAGAGGUCAUGACCUUCUCAACUCAGCUUCAUCUUUAUGGAAAAGUAGGUAGUGUAUUUCUAGAAAGGGAGAAGGAAAUUUUUUUUGCUUUUGUCUUGCUUAACCGACCAUAAAGGCCACCAAAUUGAAAAAUGAAGCACUACGUUUGAUGAUGCAUGUAAUGCCACUAGUUUGCAAGAAAAUGAUAGCAAGGAAUUAAGCUAAAUUUAUCAAAAAUUAUAUUCAAAGGUUAAAUCCCGAAUAUCAUGUCUUUAUCUUUGUGUAGGAAAGGAAAAAUGUGUAAAAUGAGUUUAAAAUAACAUAUAAAUAUAAUUUAUUAAUUUUAAAUUUAUUUUUCAAUUUUUUUCUCUAUUUUCUUUUCAUUGUGUUCUCUCAAAUUUUCUAAGAACUAAAUAUUGCUUUAGUUUUAGGAGUUUCUAACUUCAGUUUUUAUCCAAAAACCUCAGAAGAAAUUGAGCACAUGAAAUAAUGUUUUUCUUAAAAAUUCCUCAUAUAUACUAAGUGAUCAUCAUAGAAAAUAAACUAUGACUUGUAACUAAAGCAUAAACAUUGCAACAGUAGAAAUGAGCAAAAGAGGGGGACGGAAAUUCCCAACCCCAUCCUCCUCACAAAAAAAUAAACAAUAACAAUUGUCCAGUUGUUUCCUGCUUUCUUACUUUUAGGGUUUGCCUUUCCUGGAAGGGCUCUGUUUGCAGAUCAGAUUUUUAGUUUUUAAAGACAGGGUCUCUAGAAUUAAUAUGCAGUAUUUGGUCCUUAAAUGCCUAACAGACCCAUGGGCUAGCUAGCAGGGCAAGGCUAGCUAGCUUGGAUUUGGGCUAGCCCAGCACGUUUGAGGCUUAGCAUCAUCAUAGCCCAAUUUGGUCGAGGAGGCAACUUUAUGGUCAGCACAAACUAUUUGGGCUAGAGCUUUUUGUUUAUAUGAAUUGCUAUUAUUACUAUGUCUAUUUGUGCAAUUAGAAAUCUUGUGCGUGAGAUUGAUGAAGACUUGACCAUUGUUGAUAUUGGAAUAUUAAUUGAAUUUAUAGAUAAAAUAGAAAUUUAAUGUUGGGGAUAAUCACGUAGACCACUUGUUCAUUCUUUUCUAGGUAGUUCCAUAUAUUAAGUAAGGAUUAAAAUAUCUGAAAUUAGAUAAAUAUUGGUUGUUGAAAUCUAUGUACAAAAAUAAAAAGUAUUUGUAGUAAUUUUGUUUAAAUUUAGAUAAAUUUUGAUAAUUAAUUUUUUUAUAUUUAAAUAAUAUUUAUAUUAACUCAAGAAAAAAGAAUUAAAUACAAUACCAAUGGCUAUGAAUGUUAAUUUUUAUUUUAAACUUAAAAAUAAUUAAAAAGACAACUUAACUCUACAACAUUAAGUGAUUGGAGAAAUACUCAAUUUAAAAAAAUAGCUUUCAAACAAAUCUUUCAUUUUCUUGUUUUAUAAAAAGCAAAAUAGGGUACCAUCCGCUUUGUCAAAAAAAAGUUCCAUGUAUGUUGUCAAAUGGUAAAUUGAGCAAAAAAAAAAAAAAAAAAAAAAAACAUUAUAAAUUCCCGCAUCAUUAUGGCUGAGGGAGGAAUGGAUCGCUACCAUAAAAGCUCAUAUAGCUGGGGAAGGAAUGGGUUGCUUCUAUAAAACCUCUUAUAGCAGGGGAAGGAAUGGGUUGCUGUUAUAAAACCUCUUAUAGCAAUGUAUGGCCCAAUGGGCACUAUCUCUCCUGCCCAAUUUAGAUUGCUGAACCCACUGAGAGCAAUGUCUUUUAUCAUUCACUCUUCUUAACCACCAUUAGAGACCAUUGAACUCUUCUCCCAAAUCCAUAAUACCCAUCCUCAUCACUGUAUAUUUCUCCGACUAGAUUGUUGUCGUCACUGACAUCCUCAUCACUGAGGGGGCUUUGAUCAAUGACCAACUCUCUCAACGACCAAUUUCUUUAGCCACUUCAUCGCCCACAUCUUCCAGGUAUUCUUUCGAUUCCUUCCACUGCUUCACACUCUGUUAUUCCUUUCUUUCUUUCUUUGAUUUCAAAUUGGGUUUCUUUUCAUCACUUCUAUUUCCUCCCAUCUCUCUUUUUCUGGUUAGGGUUAGGGUUAGGGUUUGUGUUUGGAUUCCCUGGUAUAUAUUUACUAAUUAUUAUGAGCAUCAAUCCCUCACCAUACUUUCACAUACCUCAUCUCUGCACUCUUAUUCUUCUUUCCAUUUUCAUGUGCAUCGAAGCUUAGCUUGGAAGCAAUGAUUGCUCGUGU